GUACUGAGACACGGACCAGACUCCUACGGGAGGCAGCAGUGAGGAAUAUUGGACAAUGGGCGCAAGCCUGAUCCAGCCAUGCCGCGUGCAGGAUGACGGUCCUAUGGAUUGUAAACUGCUUUUGUACAGGAAGAAACACUCCCUCGUGAGGGAGCUUGACGGUACUGUAAGAAUAAGGAUCGGCUAACUCCGUGCCAGCAGCCGCGGUAAU
This 211-nucleotide ribosomal RNA is filed under the name uncultured Cytophagales ESR 16. RNAcentral describes it as "partial 16S ribosomal RNA". It matches the Rfam family "Bacterial small subunit ribosomal RNA", at positions 316 to 524 of the family's 1533-position model. The record is from RNAcentral. Lineage: Bacteria; Pseudomonadati; Bacteroidota; Sphingobacteriia; Sphingobacteriales.